GAAGCGGGGGAGCCGAGGGGUAACCAGGGAAGCGUGGGGUACUGGGGGCAACCAGGGGAAGAUGGGGACGGGGUACAGGGAGGCUUGAGUGGGCCAAGGAUCACCUUGGAAAUCUGGGGUCUGGCAGGGGCGGCAGAAGGUUGGGGGGCUGGCUUGGGCAGGGCUGGAGGGCACCUGGCGGGAGUGUGGCGUGGGGUCCCAGGUGUCUUGGAGUACGGGUGACAUCGGCAUGGGAUGGGCCCAAGCUGGGGGUGUAGAGGAAAGAGGGGGGAGCCAGACAUUCAUCCCGGUCAGUUUUGGUUUCAGGACGUGGCGGCUGGUGGACGAGGGGAGCUGGAGAGAGAUUCGCCCGGGACCUGGGGCAGUGGGGCCGUAUAGCUGGCAGCCGUGGGUAAGUGAGGACAGCGGUCUGUCGGCCAGGUGAGUCCCCUCCCCUCCCUGGGCCUUGCUCUGCUGGCCUUCUGCAAGAAGGGGGCUUCGGGGAGCAAGGGCCAGCGAGGAGGAGCGGCUGACCUCCCGGCAGAGCAGCAGGACGAAGGAGAGCGGUCAGCACAGGUGACAUUGUCUCGGGGGGAGCUGAGACCGUGCGGGCUGGGGGGGGGCCGUGUGCCCUUCCCAGGUAGAAAGAGCAUUUCGAGAGAGCAGGCAGGAGAUGAGGCAGGGCUGCCCGCAGGAGAGGUGACAGGUGGCUGUGGGGAUGCAGCACGUGGGGGGGGGGGGCACCAGGCCCGGGUCGGACAGGAUGAGGUGGGGACUCAGGACGCAGCAGGGGUCCCCAGCCGCCACCACAUCUCACCCACUGAAAUUCAUUUAGUAGCAGGUACAGGAGCGGCUCUGGCCAGGCCAGAGCUUCGAGGGCUGGGGAGCGGGAAAGAAGGGGCAGUGCGCGGGGUGUCCCGCAACAGGACGUCACCGGAGGGAGCGGCGGCCGCAGGUACCGGCUCCGGAGAGAUUUCUGCAGCGAGGAGGCUGCUGCGGGCCCAGCCUGCGGACGCGCCGUUCCCACGUGGCACUGCGGCCCAGGGUCUGGCGCGGAGAGGGCCCACAGCGUACUUGGUGACACUGUAUGCCUUCACCGCUCAGCCCCUGGGUCUGGCAUGACAGACAGGACAGCACCAGGGGAGUCAAGGGCACUGGCGAGACCCGACUAGGCGAGGCGGGUGGGGUGGAGUGAAUGAGAACUCUGGUGGGGGGCCGGGGCGCAGGCAGGGGUGAAGGGCGGGAGCCUGGCGGCGAGUCCGCCGGGGCACUGGCCUCCAGAGCCCGUGGCCAAGGUGGGCCUCUGCGGGCGGCGACGGAGCAGGGAUCGGUGCCUCUGGACUCGGGACUGGAGACGAGGGUCUCCAGAUCGGGUGAUGUGCUGCUAGCCUCCGAAGGCCGGGCGCGAGGCUGCGCUCAGAGAGGCAUGACAUGGUCCGGUGUGACGGCGAGGACAGACGUGACGCCAUCCGGCCUUCCUGACCAUUCUAGGCUGGCGCCGCGGGGACCCGGAACACCCAUGGGCUCGUUCCUCUGCGCUCCUGAAGGAGCCGACACAUGACUGCUGCUCUCUGGACCCCUAGAACCCUCAAAACGACAAGAAAUGGUGCUACCCAGCUCACGCCUGGGCCUUGGAACUGGGACUUCUUCAAGUCCCCUCUAGCUCUGACUCAAGAAUAUGCUGCAUUCUGGAACCACUACACUCCUUGACUCAGGAAUCGGCUCUGGAAGGUCAAGCUACAGGAACGAGACCAGCCCGACAGCAAGACCGUUGGAAGCGAGCAGCACCCGCGGCGGCCGCCACCCCGCCUGGCGCCUCCGUCUCCGUGGCCACCCUGCCGUGGACAGGCGACCACCAACCAGCCUCCACGCCCCCAUGCCCCUCACCCUCCUUCUCUUCUUCCUUUCCUCUGUGCUUUCAUUUCCUUUCUUUCCUUUCCCCUUUGCUCGGGACUCAAAGCCACCGUGACUCCGUUUCCCCGUCCCUCCCGAAUUCAAUUUGCACUAAGUCGUUUGCACUGGUUUGGAGUUCUGGGUCUGGCCUCGAGUCCCCGAGCGCGUGUGCAAGCAAGCUGCUGAGUGCCCGCACCGUGCCCAGCGCCCACCUGCCGUCCAUCUCUGCCUGGGGGUGCCUGGGUGCGGCCGAGUGUGUGGGGCCCCACCCUCCCCUUUCCUAGUCUGGGAGCUCCAAACACCGAGCAAACCUUGAAGCAUUCCGUUGUAGAGCAGCUCGCUCUGUGCCCCUCCCCGCCAGGGUUUCACCAGAAGCCCUGGACUCAUCAAUAAACUCAGUUACAGCAA
This is a long non-coding RNA of Acinonyx jubatus (cheetah), 2280 nucleotides long. RefSeq lists it as uncharacterized. Lineage: Eukaryota; Metazoa; Chordata; Mammalia; Carnivora; Felidae. The transcript is spliced from 5 exons. The record is from RefSeq and is a predicted model, not a curated record.